UCAUCCGCAUAUGUUCAUCUUCUUCACCUGAUGGGUACUGUUUGCGCAGAAAAAAAAUAAUUUGGUCACCUUCAUCUUGCAAGUCCUCUUCGGCAGAGUUCAGCUCGUAGUAACGCCUCCUCAUCAACAGCACCAAGUUCCGGAUGGUAGCCAGAGCUGCACCAACGUAUAGGUGCUCGCUACCACUGCCAUUUAGUGCCCAAGCUCUCACUCUCUCCAGAGAACCCUAGCGUCGUCCACUCCUGCCAAAUUCUCCGAGAACAUCUCUUGGAGCUGCAGCCUGCACUUCACUCGGUAAUCUUGCUUGGUCAAAGUUAUAUUUUCUCCUUCUGUUUUCGCAGUUCACUCUCAUUCUCUAUCCUCUCGCACGCAAAUGGAACAUGAUUGUGAGGCUCUACACUUAUGGUUUGUCCGUGGUCACAGCGGAAAUGGGCUGAACCUAUCCAGACAUUGUCCAGAAUCCAUAAUUGUCAAUAGCCUAGGACUCAGAUUGGCCCUGCUUUGUGGCAUUGUAAUAUUGACUUUGUCCAGAAUUCAUGUACUUAGAUGCCAAGUGCUCUCUUUGAAGUUUGAAGUCUAGCUGUUAAUUGUAUUGCUAACAUAUUACUAAUUCAAAGAUCAUGACAGAUUCUGGAAACUGACAUCAUGUGCUAAUUCAAAUAUAACUAUAAUGAAAAAUUCUG
This is a long non-coding RNA of Juglans regia (Persian walnut), 683 nucleotides long. RefSeq lists it as uncharacterized. NCBI's taxonomy places the organism in Eukaryota, Viridiplantae, Streptophyta, Magnoliopsida, Fagales, Juglandaceae. The transcript has 3 exons. The record is from RefSeq and is a predicted model, not a curated record.